UGAUACCAUGAUAACAAUCUGUCUGAUCCCAAAAGCUAAAGUUAAUAGUGAAAGGGUCACCAAUGUAUGUGAGACUUGAUAGACAACAUUAUAAAACUGACAACAUUUUCUUAGCAAUCCAUAUGCCCAUGUGAAAAUUGAGUAACUGUGUUAUAUAUUAUAGUUUUUUUUCCUGUCACUCUGCUUGUUAAGCUUGUUUAUGCAGACAUACUCUUGAGAUUGUUGGAAGAAAGUUUGUUUGUUAUUCAAAUUGAAGUCUGUUAUCAUGUUUACACAUUUUAAAACCAUUUGUCGACCGUGGUUGACAAAGAGGUGAAUGAGAG
This 323-nucleotide long non-coding RNA is filed under the name Elaeis guineensis (African oil palm). RNAcentral describes it as "long non-coding RNA (EGUI_LNC008963)". The record is from RNAcentral. Lineage: Eukaryota; Viridiplantae; Streptophyta; Magnoliopsida; Arecales; Arecaceae.